UGUCGUCAGCUCGUGUUGUGAAAUGUUGGGUUAAGUCCCGCAACGAGCGCAACCCUUAUCCUUUGUUGCCAGCGGUCCGGCCGGGAACUCAAAGGAGACUGCCAGUGAUAAACUGGAGGAAGGUGGGGAUGACGUCAAGUCAUCAUGGCCCUUACGACCAGGGCUACACACGUGCUACAAUGGCGCAUACAAAGAGAAGCGACCUCGCGAGAGCAAGCGGACCUCAUAAAGUGCGUCGUAGUCCGGAUUGGAGUCUGCAACUCGACUCCAUGAAGUCGGAAUCGCUAGUAAUCGUGGAUCAGAAUGCCACGGUGAAUACGUUCCCGGGCCUUGUACACACCGCCCGUCACACCAUGGG
RNAcentral lists this ribosomal RNA (358 nucleotides) under Escherichia coli. RNAcentral's name for it is "bacterial SSU rRNA". It matches the Rfam family "Bacterial small subunit ribosomal RNA", at positions 1050 to 1408 of the family's 1533-position model. The record is from RNAcentral. Lineage: Bacteria; Pseudomonadati; Pseudomonadota; Gammaproteobacteria; Enterobacterales; Enterobacteriaceae.